Molecule: ribosomal RNA, 1341 nt
Filed under: Escherichia coli
Lineage: Bacteria; Pseudomonadati; Pseudomonadota; Gammaproteobacteria; Enterobacterales; Enterobacteriaceae
Description: partial 23S ribosomal RNA
Rfam family: Bacterial large subunit ribosomal RNA
Source: RNAcentral
GCCCUGCUUCCAGGAAAAGCCUCUAAGCAUCAGGUAACAUCAAAUCGUACCCCAAACCGACACAGGUGGUCAGGUAGAGAAUACCAAGGCGCUUGAGAGAACUCGGGUGAAGGAACUAGGCAAAAUGGUGCCGUAACUUCGGGAGAAGGCACGCUGAUAUGUAGGUGAAGUCCCUCGCGGAUGGAGCUGAAAUCAGUCGAAGAUACCAGCUGGCUGCAACUGUUUAUUAAAAACACAGCACUGUGCAAACACGAAAGUGGACGUAUACGGUGUGACGCCUGCCCGGUGCCGGAAGGUUAAUUGAUGGGGUUAGCGCAAGCGAAGCUCUUGAUCGAAGCCCCGGUAAACGGCGGCCGUAACUAUAACGGUCCUAAGGUAGCGAAAUUCCUUGUCGGGUAAGUUCCGACCUGCACGAAUGGCGUAAUGAUGGCCAGGCUGUCUCCACCCGAGACUCAGUGAAAUUGAACUCGCUGUGAAGAUGCAGUGUACCCGCGGCAAGACGGAAAGACCCCGUGAACCUUUACUAUAGCUUGACACUGAACAUUGAGCCUUGAUGUGUAGGAUAGGUGGGAGGCUUGGAAGUGUGGACGCCAGUCUGCAUGGAGCCGACCUUGAAAUACCACCCUUUAAUGUUUGAUGUUCUAACGUUGACCCGUAAUCCGGGUUGCGGACAGUGUCUGGUGGGUAGUUUGACUGGGGCGGUCUCCUCCUAAAGAGUAACGGAGGAGCACGAAGGUUGGCUAAUCCUGGUCGGACAUCAGGAGGUUAGUGCAAUGGCAUAAGCCAGCUUGACUGCGAGCGUGACGGCGCGAGCAGGUGCGAAAGCAGGUCAUAGUGAUCCGGUGGUUCUGAAUGGAAGGGCCAUCGCUCAACGGAUAAAAGGUACUCCGGGGAUAACAGGCUGAUACCGCCCAAGAGUUCAUAUCGACGGCGGUGUUUGGCACCUCGAUGUCGGCUCAUCACAUCCUGGGGCUGAAGUAGGUCCCAAGGGUAUGGCUGUUCGCCAUUUAAAGUGGUACGCGAGCUGGGUUUAGAACGUCGUGAGACAGUUCGGUCCCUAUCUGCCGUGGGCGCUGGAGAACUGAGGGGGGCUGCUCCUAGUACGAGAGGACCGGAGUGGACGCAUCACUGGUGUUCGGGUUGUCAUGCCAAUGGCACUGCCCGGUAGCUAAAUGCGGAAGAGAUAAGUGCUGAAAGCAUCUAAGCACGAAACUUGCCCCGAGAUGAGUUCUCCCUGACUCCUUGAGAGUCCUGAAGGAACGUUGAAGACGACGACGUUGAUAGGCCGGGUGUGUAAGCGCAGCGAUGCGUUGAGCUAACCGGUACUAAUGAACCGUGAGG